Molecule: ribosomal RNA, 343 nt
Filed under: uncultured eukaryote
Lineage: Eukaryota
Description: partial 18S ribosomal RNA
Rfam family: Eukaryotic small subunit ribosomal RNA
Source: RNAcentral
CAGUAGCGUAUAUUAAAGUUGUUGCAUUUAAAAAGCUCGUAGUUGGUGUUUCACCUGUCUAUGUUGCUGACGUUUCGUCUCGACGCCCGACAGGAUGGUCUUUGGUGUUUACACCGCUUGCACUGUGAGUAAAUUAGAGUGAUCCAGACAGGCUGUGCCUGAAUGCUUCAGCAUGGUAUGGGUUCUUGACAUCGGUGAAGCUUUGCUCUUGAGUGAAGGGUUGCCGCGGUAAAGGUUAAUAGAGACAGAUGAUGGAAUUCGUAUUGAGUUGCUAGAGGUGAAAUUCUUGGACCAACUCAAGACGUUCUGAAGCGAAAGCUUUUUUCACACAUGCUCUUAUUAA